RNAcentral lists this ribosomal RNA (445 nucleotides) under uncultured bacterium. RNAcentral's name for it is "partial 16S ribosomal RNA". It matches the Rfam family "Bacterial small subunit ribosomal RNA", at positions 354 to 796 of the family's 1533-position model. The record is from RNAcentral.
GUGAGGAAUAUUGCGCAAUGGAGGCAACUCUGACGCAGCCAUGCCGCGUGCAGGAAGAAGGCGCUACGCGUUGUAAACUGCUUUUAACCGGGAAGAAACCCCAGGACGUGUCCUGGGUUGACGGUACCGGAGGAAUAAGCACCGGCUAACUUCGUGCCAGCAGCCGCGGUAAUACGAAGGGUGCAAGCGUUAUCCGGAUUCAUUGGGUUUAAAGGGUGCGUAGGCGGAGCGUUAAGUCAGUGGUGAAAUCCUGCAGCUUAACUGUAGACUUGCCAUUGAUACUGGCGCUCUUGAGUGCGCUUGAAGUGGGCGGAAUGUGCCGUGUAGCGGUGAAAUGCUUAGAUAUGGCACAGAACACCAAUUGCGAAGGCAGCUCACUAAGGCGAUACUGACGCUGAGGCACGAAAGCGUGGGGAUCGAACAGGAUUAGAAACUCCGGUAGUCC